Oncorhynchus tshawytscha (Chinook salmon) is the source of this 541-nucleotide long non-coding RNA. Lineage: Eukaryota; Metazoa; Chordata; Actinopteri; Salmoniformes; Salmonidae. The record is from Ensembl.
CUCUGGUGGCACAGCUGGAGCUGCAAUACAGCGCCCUUAACCACCCGAGAGGCAACAUACGCUGCUUUUGGCAUGGGAUUGUCAAGGAUGUGGACAGCAGGGUCUAGCUUGACAGAAGUUUGAGAGGGUGAAGACUAGCGUAAGAGUUGAAGCCCAUCAGUUGUUUUACCAUGGCACAUGAUCGGUGGACCUCAUUGGACCCUUGAUGAAAUCCAGGAAUGGCAACAGCUGGUGUCUGACGGUGACCGAUUAUUUUACCAUAUGGGGGGAGGCAAUACCCAUUAAGAUACCCAUCAAGGACAAGACUGGCGAGGCCACCUCCAAGGUGAUGAUGGACAUCUUCAACACCUACGGUUCUCCUGAUGUCAUCUUUAUUGACCAAGGUCGUGAACUCUGAAACAAGAACCUGUGCCCUAGGACCAUGCCUCAGGACUACCUGGCCUGAUGACUCCUUGCUGUCCCCAGUUCACCUGGUCAUGCUGCUGCUCUGGUUUUGGCUGUUCUGCCUGCGGCUGUGGAGCCAUGGACUGUUCACCGGACG